GACGAACGCUGGCGGCGUGCUUAACACAUGCAAGUCGAACGGAAAGGCCCUGCUUUUGUGGGGUGCUCGAGUGGCGAACGGGUGAGUAACACGUGAGUAACCUGCCCUUGACUUUGGGAUAACUUCAGGAAACUGGGGCUAAUACCGGAUAGGAGCUCCUGCUGCAUGGUGGGGGUUGGAAAGUUUCGGCUGUUGGGGAUGGACGCGCGGCUUAUCAGCUUGUUGGUGGGGUAGUGGCUUACCAAGGCUUUGACGGGUAGCCGGCCUGAGGGGGUGACCGGCCACAUUGGGCCUGAGAUACGGCCCAGACUCCUACGGGAGGCAGCAGUGGGGAAUAUUGCACAAUGGGCGGAAGCCUGAUGCAGCAACGCCGCGUGCGGGAUGACGGCCUUCGGGUUGUAAACCGCUUUCGCCUGUGACGAAGCGUGAGUGACGGUAAUGGGUAAAGAAGCACCGGCUAACUACGUG
RNAcentral lists this ribosomal RNA (468 nucleotides) under uncultured bacterium. RNAcentral's name for it is "partial 16S ribosomal RNA". It matches the Rfam family "Bacterial small subunit ribosomal RNA", at positions 28 to 507 of the family's 1533-position model. The record is from RNAcentral.